This 1189-nucleotide long non-coding RNA is filed under the name Pan troglodytes (chimpanzee). RNAcentral's name for it is "lncRNA (ENSPTRG00000053216.1)". The record is from RNAcentral. Lineage: Eukaryota; Metazoa; Chordata; Mammalia; Primates; Hominidae.
AAUAAAAUUGGAAUGCAUCUCUAUGCAACAAUGAAAGAAAAAUAGCAAUAUUAAAAAUACAUCAAAUACAACUCUAGAGGGAAGUGAAUUUUUAUUCAAGGACUUUUAAGAAUUCUGACAUUGAAAAGACAUCUUUGCUUGAGGAGGCAGCUGAAUGUGUUUCUAACUUACAGUCAAAGAUCAUUUGCAUAGAAUACCAAAAGAGCCAUUUUUUUUUUUUUAAUUCAGAGAAAGAACAUCUAUCAGAGUUUGGCAGGAUGCAUCCUGCCAGGAUUCUUCUCUUUUCUACAGAAACUGACCAUUUGAAAAAGUCUUUCUAUGAUUGGUGCCACAAUAAAGCUCUUGUACCGGAUUCUGCAACAAAAUGUAAAUUAAUGGAAUGUGAAAAAUGGAAGGACUGCAAGGGAAAGGAUCAAAGGGAUUCCUCCCUCUUCUUUCCACAAGUGAACACCUCUCCUGUUCUAGGAGCUGGGGAUUCAGUAGUGAAUGAGACAGGCAAGGUCCCUGCUGUCAUGGAGUCUGCAUCCUAGUGUAGGUAAUAAGACAAUGAACAAAGUAAUUUUCAAAGCAAACAAAAUAGGGGGUGCUCUGGAGAGUACAUGGAGAUCUGUUGUAGAGGGUUGGUUGAGGAGGGUUUCUCUAAGAAUCAAUGCUCAGGCUGAAACUGGAAUGACCAGAUGGAGACAGCCCGGAGAAGAACUGUCAGUGCAUUCCAGGGAGGGAAGACCAAAUGCAAUGUCUUAAGAGGAGAAAAGCCUGGCAGGUUCCUGGAAUAGAAAGAAGGCGUGUGGGCCCAAUGUAUAUGAUGGAGAGAGGUAGGAAAUGAACUCAGAGAGGCUGUCAGCACACAGACCAUAUUCAACAUUGGAGUCCCCUAAGGAGUUUGGAUGUUGUCCUCAGUAUAGUCAUGGGGUGCAUAGCAAUGUUUUGGUCAAUGACAGACUUCAUGCACAACACUGGUCCCAAUAAGAUCAUAAUGGAGCUGAAAAUUCCUGUCACCUAGUGAUGUCUUUAUGAUCCUGACCCUGUGUUUCCCUAGGCUAAUGUGUGUGUUUGUGUCUUAGUUUUUAACAAAAAUGCUUAAAAAGUAAAAAAUGAAACAUUUUUAAAAAUAGAAAAAACUUAUAGAAUAAGGAUAUAAAGACAACAUUUUGUACAGCUGUACAAUCUGUGUUUUAAGCUAAGUGUA